This 292-nucleotide ribosomal RNA is filed under the name uncultured bacterium. RNAcentral's name for it is "partial 16S ribosomal RNA". It matches the Rfam family "Bacterial small subunit ribosomal RNA", at positions 505 to 796 of the family's 1533-position model. The record is from RNAcentral.
GUGUCAGCCGCCGCGGUAAGACGAACCACCCAAACGUUAUUCGGAAUUACUGGGCUUAAAGGGUGCGUAGGCGGCGUGGAAAGUUGGGUGUGAAAUCCCUCGGCUCAACCGAGGAACUGCGCUCAAAACUACCGUGCUCGAGGAAGACAGAGGUAAGCGGAACUUCGGGUGGAGCGGUGAAAUGCGUUGAUAUCCGAAGGAACACCGGUGGCGAAAGCGGCUUACUGGGUCUUUUCUGACGCUGAUGCACGAAAGCCAGGGGAGCAAACGGGAUUAGAAACCCCCGUAGUCC